This 5977-nucleotide long non-coding RNA is filed under the name Canis lupus familiaris (dog). Its description in RNAcentral is "lncRNA (ENSCAFG00000058312.1)". Lineage: Eukaryota; Metazoa; Chordata; Mammalia; Carnivora; Canidae. The record is from RNAcentral.
AUGCCAGUGAGCGAGCGGGGCGGCCUGCGGACUCUGGGUCAGCACGUGGCCCGGGCAUCUGCGUCUCUAACCCAUUCCCUAACGAGGCCGAUGUUGCUGGUGCAGGGAUGUCACUUCGAGAAUCACCGCUCUGUAGUUAGUGUCUUUGGUUUUCCGGCGUUUAUCCCGGUGGCCCUGUGUGUACGUGAACACGGAUCACUACAAUGGACCCGUUUAUGUAGGAUUUUGAAAUUCGGUGGUUUCCAUCUCACAAAAUAUCCUAGACAUCAUCCCCACGCUACAGAUUACGAUUGCCCACAGUCAGCAGUGUGGCCCGCCGUGUCGGUGGCGCCCGGUGACGGCACCUGCUGCGGAGAGCCGGAGGGAGCACACAGAACUGUCCAGUCGUGUGGCUCCCCCGAAACCCGUACGACCCUGUGGGUCACUUGUGCUUCGAUAAAAAUCAGAUUGAAAAAAGAGAGUCGGGAAACCAGCCACGGAACUGAACCAACGCGAUGGGAGGAGCCAACGGGAGGAGGGUUGCAUAGGCCGAGGCCGAGCCCAGGGGCCGAGUGUCCCGAGGAGCGGCCCCCGAGCUCUCCUGCCGGGCCGGGCCAUCUGCGCAGCCCCGGGAGGCUCCCGGAGGCCUCGGCUCCCUGCACGGCCGCCCGAGUCCACGGCCCGUGUGGACACGGUUCAGCGGUGGGUGAUGCCCCUGCAGCCGGGCCUCCCACACGUCCAGCCGUGGAGCGUGAUCCUCCGAGGACCUCUGCGUUCCUUCUGUUUUCUAAGCUAGAGGACUCCAGGAGACAGUGCUCCGCUCCGUCCGACUUCACUUCACGGGAGGCCUGGGGCUCGGCGUCUGCACCUGCACCUCCGACCCGGUGGCCCGCAGCCUGCAGCCUCCUUGCUCCUGCAGCUCCGGCCUCCGCCAGGGUCCAGGCCCGGCGGUGCCCAGGCCAAGCAGGAACCGGGAGCGUAGCGGGAAGGCAUCGAGGGCAGAGGUGAGGUGGGGAUGCACGGGGCGGACGGGCCCUGUGUCUGCACGAUCAACACCCAGGAAGAGCCUUCGUUCGUGAACAAGGGUCCCUCUCGAGUUCCUCCCGCUGCCCACGGACCUCCGGGUUGACCUCGCGUCUUUCUUAGGGGAAAGGAAACGAAAAAGAGUUCCCUGCGGAGCAGUGACCCACCUGCCGCCCAGCCCCCAGGCUGCACCGGAUCGCGGACGGAUGGGGCGGCCUGAGCUCCCUCCAACGGGAGGCCCGGGGCAGCGCGGCGGGUCUUGUGGUUUCUCAGGGAGCUCACCAAGGACGCAGGGAGCGGAGAGAGGCCCCUGGGGCUGGGGGUGCCAGCGUCGGGGUGGGGGGUGAAGACGCAGGGAGACGUGGCCAGGAGCAAGGGCUCUGACGGACGGACGCUGCAUCCGCUGUGGCCGAGAGCAGGCCAGUGAGACAAAAAAGCCACAGAACACGCAGACGAGCUUAAAGACGAAGCCGAGAGCCGGGUCCUGCGAUACAGAAAUGGAGAAAACAACCCAGGGGCGCCUGGGGGCUCAGCGGGUUAAGCGCCAGACUCUUGAGUUGGGUUCAGGGCAUGACCCCAGGGUCCUGGGAUGCAGCCCUGAGCCCUGCGGGGGGUGGGGGUGGGGGGGUGGGGGGUGGGGCUUGUCCUCCUUGGGCCUCCUUCCACUCCCCACCCCUGCGCACUCCCUCGUGUCUCUCUCCCAAAUCAAUACAUCUUAAAAACAUCCUUAGGAGCGAUUUAUUAUUUAUUUAUUUAUUUAUUUUCCGGAGCGUUUUAAUGAAAAGUUUUUAUUUUAUUUUAUUUAUUUUUAAAGAUUUUAUUUAUUCAUGAGAGACACAGAGAGACCCAGGCAGAGGCAGAAGCAGGCUCCGUGCAGGGAGCCAGAGGUGGGACUCGAUCCCGGGUCUCCAGGAUCACGCCCGGCUGCAGGCGGCGCUAAACCGCUGAGGCACUGGGGCUGCCCUACUCAUUUAUUUUAUUCCCGGAAGUCUGUGCAAAAGUAGGUGAAGGGGAGUGAGGGGUGCAGGCUUCCGGGGCCAGUACCCUCAUUCGCAUAAUGAGGAAACUGAGACCCAGGGGAAGUUAAGCAACCUGCCCGGAGUCGCCGCCGUGGGGUCGGGCUUCGUCGCCAGGGUCCCCGCCCGGGUAACAGCUUCUUGGCGAUUAGCUGUAAAGACAAUGUGGGCCGUUCGUUGCUUGUAUCGCUUUAUUUAUCACUGUUUCAUAAUGAACUUAAAGGUUUAAGUUUAAAGGAGAAAAGGAAGACUUUUCUGAGCAAGACAGGAAACCCAGUGCACUGGCAGGGUGAGGGUUUGCAGAAGUUAAGCUGGGGCCUGUUUACCAUACGAGAAGCUAGCCAAAAAAAAAAAAAAAAAAAAAAAUGCACGUAAUUGAUUUCGAUGGCGCCCGUUCCCUGAGUGCGACACUUGGAAGGCGGCUUGUUCUCGGCUGGAGACUUUGCCCAAAAAGUACACAGUGAGCGGCAGCGAGGAGGCUCAUCGUAGGAACAGCAGAGGAGAGACCAGAGGAAGAGCUGCUAAGGCCCUGCGGUCACCGCAGCCUGCAAACCCAGGAAAGCAAACUCAAUUUGCUCCGGAAACUGGAAGAGAGAAGCCGAGGCUCACGGCAGAGGCAGGGGCUGCAGCUGACGGGCGGUGACGCCGGCCAGGGGUGAGGCCUGCGGUCGCCAGGUCUCCUGAUUUUCCGUGGGACGGGCUCGGUGACUGUCCCGACGGAGGCCGCCCAGGAUGCUUCUGGGCUUUCCUGCCCGGGGUCCCCCCGACGAGGACCCCAGCGCCGCCGGGGCCUCCAGCGGCUCCGCGAGCACAUUCAGGCUGAAGGAGGAGACGUCAUUCAUGACACACGUGCUGGAGAAGGUGUGGGAUCACGUUCUGGGAUCUUUAAGGACCCCUUCUCUCCUUUUUCAAGAUUUUAUUUAUUUGUUUGAGAGAGAGGACGGGAAGGGAGGGGCCGGGGGAGAGGGGGAGCCUCAAGCGCAGCCCCACCCGGUGCAAGCCCGGGGCGCCCUGUCCCACCGCCCCACGAUCACGACCUGAGCUGAAACCAAGACUUGGGCGCCCAUGGGACACGCCCGCCCCGGGGCCCUGAGGGUCCCUUCUGCCUGAGGCCGUCACGCUGAGGUACAUUCUGACGUUGGCGGCAAAACGACAAAACCUUGAAAACCGCCUCUCCGGGCGCUCGGCAUGCACCAGCCUGGCGCCGAGGUGCUGUCCGUGGGCCGUGACGCGGCUGGCUGAGGCCUGGGCCCGCGUGGGCGCACCUGAGGGCACCCGGAUCUGCAGGCGGUGGGGUGCGGCCCGGGUCUAGGUGGUGCUUGGCGGUGGGUGGCCACAUCCACGGCGCGGCCCUCGCUCAUCCGCGGCCCCGCGUGGCUGUGCUGUUGCCUGGUCACCCCCGUGACGACCGUCCAAGGAACUGGCCGGCAGAGACGGAAGGCGCGAGGCGUGACACUGCGACACGUGAGACUUGAGCCGGACGUGGUGGGCGAGCAAGGAGCCGGCCGGGGACACGCGCAGCUGGAGCACGCUCGGCGGCAAGGUGAGCCGAGUGGGGACCUGGUGGUGACGGAGGGCGGCCGCGGCCAGAGGAAGCCGUGGUAAAAAGAAUUCACUGUAAAGGAAGCUGCAGAGCGACUUUACGACCUCGGCAGCACAGGUGACAAAGUGGCAGAAGCGGGUCCCGGCUUGGAAGGCUCUGACGGCCAGCGGUGGCGGGAGGACGCCCAGGCCGCACCUCGGGCGCGGGAGGCCCAGCUGGUUCCAGGUGACCCAAGUCCCCGUGUUUCUGAUGUUCCGAGCACAGUGCACUAAACGCCCCUUACAGUUUCCCAUUUUAUUUCACACUUAUAACGGGUAGUAGGAGUUUUUAAUAUAUUGACAGAUUUUUGAGGUCACAGUCCUUCUCCCCAUCGAUUACUAAGCUUGCUUUGAAUGGCCCUCGACGCGGCCCGACCCUGCCUGUGGCCGGACACACUGCCUGCCUUUUUUUUUUUUUUUUUUUAAGAUUUAAUUUAUUUAUUCAUGAGAGACACAGAGAGAAGCAGAGACACAGGCAGAGGGAGAAGCAGGCUCCAUGCAGGGAGCCCGACGGGGGACUCGAUCCCGGGUCUCUAGGAUCACGCCCUGGGCUGCAGGCGGCACUAAACCGCUGCACCACCCCGGGAUCCCGCCGGUUUCCAUUACUGAUGGCCAAAUACCCCUCUAAUCGGACACAUACAUUCCUUUUGACUCAGUCGUGUCUGUAUGUGACUCCAUCCUAGGGGAACGAGGGUACCAGUGUGUAGAGAUUUAUGUAGAAUUUGUGUAUAACAUUGUUUUUGGAAGCAAAGAGCUGAGAACAAAUGGAAGGUCUACCAGAAGCCAGAUGGCUAACUAGUGUGGUAGAUCCAUGCAAAGCCUUGCUGUAUGACCUCUAGGAGGAAUGAUUUAAAAGGAAGUCUAUUGAAUUGAGGAAUGUUCAUAGUGAAUUGUCAUGUGAAAACAGCAAAUCGAAUAGUUAAAUUUAUAGUGCAGUCCAUUAUUUGUGGAAAAGGUCUCUGCAUGUGUGUAAAUGUUUGUAUAUUUCUACACGGGCACAGGAAAAAGGGGUAAAAAAUGCCUAGAGGAAUGAGGGGAGAAACAUUUGAAUGAGACAAGCCUGCUACAAGAAAAGAAUCUGCCUUAAAAAAACAAAAAAAUAUAAUUUAUAUAUCAAUAAAAUAUAUACAAAAUAUAUUUUAAAAAAUAAUAAAUAUAUAUAUUUUAAAGAUUGUAGUUAUUUAUUUUAGAGAAAAAGAGAGAGAGAGAGAGAGGGAGAGAGAGAACGAGCGAAUCUCAAGCAGACUCCGUGCUGAGCCUGGAGGCCAGCCCGGGGCUCCGUCUCAGGACCCUGAGAUCAUGACCUGAGCUGAAAUCCAACCGAGCCCCCCAGGAGCCCCAAUCUGCCUUCAUUUUCAAACUUUAUUGAACUAUGAAGAGAAGCGUCUCAUAUGACAUAAAUGUACAUGGUAUUGGCAGCUAUGUCUUAAAUAUGGAGUUGAAUAGAAGAAAAAAAUUUUUAGACACGCAAAACAUUAAUUUUAUUAUAUAGUAAUUUAAAAAAUAGACUUUAAAAAUUUUUUUAAAAAGAUAUUAUUUGUUCAUGGGAGACACACAGAGAGACAGGCAGAGGGAGAAGCAGGCUCCUUGCAGGGAGCCUGACGUGGGAUUCGAUCCCAGGACCCGGGGGUCACACCCUGGACCAAAGACAGAUGCUCAACCACUGAGCCCCCCAGGCGCCCAACAGACUUUUUAAAAAAACACUUUCUAAAAGAUUUUUGUUUUUUUAGUUCCAGUUUGGUUUACAUACAGUGUUGCAUUAAUUCCAGGCGUACAGUAUAGGGAUUCAACGCCUCCGUACAUUACUCGGUGCUCAUCCCGACACCUCCUUCACCCCCUUCACCACCUCCCCUCUGGCGACCUUCAGCCUGUUCUCUAUGGUCAAGAGUCUGUUUAUUUGGUUUGUCUCUUUUUCUUUAUUCAUUUGUUUUGUUUCUUAAAUUCCACGUAUGGGUGACAUCAUAGGAUAUCUGCUUUCUCUGACUUAUUUUGCUUAGCGUAAUACCCUCCAGUUCCACCCAUAUGGUUGCAAGUGGCAAGAUUUUGUUCCUUUUUAUGGCUGCGGACUCUUCCGUUGCAUCCGUACACCGCCUCUUCUUCAUCCAUUCACCGAUUAAGGAUGCACACUUGGGUUACUUCCAUAAUUUGGCCACCGUAAAUCAGGCUGCGGUGAACACGGGGGGACACACAUCUUUUCAAGUCAGCUUUUUUGUAUUCUUGGGGUAAAUACCCAGUAGUAGAAUUUUUUUUUUUUUAGAAGAGAAACUCUUUUUUAAAAAAAUUUCUAUUUAUUUAUGAUAGUCACAGAGAGAGAGAGAGAGAGGCAGAGACACAGGCAGAGGAAGAAGCAGGCUCCAUGCACCGGGAGCCCGACGUGG